GCCUCUUUGGCGCAAUGGCUAGCGCGUAUGAUUUCUAAUCCUGAGGUUGUGGGUUCGAGUCCCACAAGAGGUG
This 73-nucleotide transfer RNA is filed under the name Ecytonucleospora hepatopenaei. Its description in RNAcentral is "Enterocytozoon sp. ST-2009a tRNA". It matches the Rfam family "tRNA". From Rfam's summary of the family: Transfer RNA (tRNA) molecules are approximately 80 nucleotides in length. Their secondary structure includes four short double-helical elements and three loops (D, anti-codon, and T loops). Further hydrogen bonds mediate the characteristic L-shaped molecular structure. tRNAs have two regions of fundamental functional importance: the anti-codon, which is responsible for specific mRNA codon recognition, and the 3' end, to which the tRNAs corresponding amino acid is attached (by aminoacyl-tRNA synthetases). tRNAs cope with the degeneracy of the genetic code in two manners: having more than one tRNA (with a specific anti-codon) for a particular amino acid; and 'wobble' base-pairing, i.e. permitting non-standard base-pairing at the 3rd anti-codon position. The record is from Rfam by way of RNAcentral. Lineage: Eukaryota; Fungi; Microsporidia; Enterocytozoonidae.